GCCCACGCUGGUUCCCAGCCACUCGACGUAGGGCCGCCCACAGGGCCGUCUCCGCCGCGGAGCUCCCGCCCCUGAACGCUGCGCAGCCCCGCUCGCAGCGCGGAGUCCCGCACGUUAGCGCGUCUGGCCCGGUGCUACCUUGAGGCGCUCUACUUGGGGGAGACGCCGAAGACGGGAGCGCCUCGAGCUCCUCGCGCGGGCUCGCUUACAGAAGCCAGGGCUAGCGCUGGGACUUCUAGGGGAGGACUGUAAUGAGACGGAGCUGAAGUGCUUUCCUCAGUCAGAUGAGAACUUCUGACAGCGCGGCAGACGCACAGCAAAGUAAACAAGCCGCGCAGCAAGAAUGAAGUGAGAGCCGCCCCGUCGUGUCCGUGGGAUUCUCCAGGCCGGAACACUGGAGUGGAUAUUUCCCUCUCCAGUACUGAAAGCUACCCUUCAAUGAAAUAUGCGUUUCUUAUUUUAUUCAGAGUAAUCUCCUGGCCAAAUGCCUAGAAAUCCUGCUACUGCUGCUACUGCUAAGUCGCUUCAGUCAUGUCCGACUCUGUGCGACCGCAGCCCACCAGGAAAUCCUGAACCUGAACUAAUUACAGUUGCAAAGGAUGGCUUGCGUAUGAAAUACCUGAAGCGUCUAUAUGAGGCAGGAAGCAGAUGGGCCCCCCAGGGUAAAGCGAC
Molecule: long non-coding RNA, 672 nt
Organism: Bos taurus (domestic cattle)
Lineage: Eukaryota; Metazoa; Chordata; Mammalia; Artiodactyla; Bovidae
Source: Ensembl